UACAGAGGUCCCAAGCGUUGUUCGGAUUCACUGGGCGUAAAGGGUGCGUAGGCGGUCGGGUAAGUCUGAUGUGAAAUCUCACAGCUUAACUGUGAAACUGCAUUGGAUACUAUCCGGCUCGAGGAAUGGAGGGGAGACUGGAAUACUUGGUGUAGCAGUGAAAUGCGUAGAUAUCAAGUGGAACACCAGUGGCGAAGGCGAGUCUCUGGACAUUUCCUGACGCUGAGGCACGAAAGCCGGGGGAGCAAACGGG
This 253-nucleotide ribosomal RNA is filed under the name uncultured bacterium. Its description in RNAcentral is "partial 16S ribosomal RNA". It matches the Rfam family "Bacterial small subunit ribosomal RNA", at positions 524 to 776 of the family's 1533-position model. The record is from RNAcentral.